GGGGAUUUGGUCUAGGGGAAUGACAUCUGUUUUGCAAUGACUCGACCUCCGAGUCUGAAAAUACAGAAGGUCGGGGGUUCAAUUCCCUCAAUCUCCA
Neonectria ditissima is the source of this 97-nucleotide transfer RNA. It matches the Rfam family "tRNA". Rfam says of the family: Transfer RNA (tRNA) molecules are approximately 80 nucleotides in length. Their secondary structure includes four short double-helical elements and three loops (D, anti-codon, and T loops). Lineage: Eukaryota; Fungi; Ascomycota; Sordariomycetes; Hypocreales; Nectriaceae. The record is from Rfam.